This 240-nucleotide ribosomal RNA is filed under the name uncultured Lactobacillus sp. RNAcentral's name for it is "partial 16S ribosomal RNA". It matches the Rfam family "Bacterial small subunit ribosomal RNA", at positions 122 to 354 of the family's 1533-position model. The record is from RNAcentral. Lineage: Bacteria; Bacillati; Bacillota; Bacilli; Lactobacillales; Lactobacillaceae.
UAACCUGCCCAAGAGAUCGGGAUAACACCUGGAAACAGAUGCUAAUACCGGAUAACAACAGAUGAUGCCUAUCAACUGUUUAAAAGAUGGUUCUGCUAUCACUCUUGGAUGGACCUGCGGUGCAUUGGCUAGUUGGUAGGGUAACGGCCUGCCAAGGCGAUGAUGAAUAGCCGAGUUGAGAGACUGAUCGGCCACAUUGGGACUGAGACACGGCCCAAACUCCUACGGGAGGCAGCAGGC